GCUGGGGUUGUGGCUCAGUGGUAGAGCACUUGCCUAGCAUGUGAAAGGCAUUGGAUUCAAUUCUCAGCA
This 69-nucleotide transfer RNA is filed under the name Marmota monax (woodchuck). RNAcentral describes it as "tRNA.Ala". It matches the Rfam family "tRNA". Rfam says of the family: Transfer RNA (tRNA) molecules are approximately 80 nucleotides in length. The record is from RNAcentral. Lineage: Eukaryota; Metazoa; Chordata; Mammalia; Rodentia; Sciuridae.